RNAcentral lists this non-coding RNA (88 nucleotides) under Desulfitobacterium dichloroeliminans. RNAcentral describes it as "c-di-GMP sequence". It matches the Rfam family "c-di-GMP-I riboswitch aptamer". From Rfam's summary of the family: GEMM was predicted in a large-scale screen for bacterial structured RNA regulatory elements. Genes associated with GEMM are involved in a diverse array of functions, including chemotaxis regulation, signal transduction, secretion and chitin. The record is from RNAcentral. RNAcentral also lists the same sequence under 1 other name. Lineage: Bacteria; Bacillati; Bacillota; Clostridia; Eubacteriales; Desulfitobacteriaceae.
UUUAGUAAAGGGCAAACCUGCCAAAAGGCAGGGACGCAAAGCCGAGGGUCUAAAGCGUUUGUUGCGCCAUGACAGCCUAGCUGCCGAU